RNAcentral lists this ribosomal RNA (440 nucleotides) under Clostridioides sp. ZZV14-6104. RNAcentral describes it as "bacterial SSU rRNA". It matches the Rfam family "Bacterial small subunit ribosomal RNA", at positions 338 to 795 of the family's 1533-position model. The record is from RNAcentral. Lineage: Bacteria; Bacillati; Bacillota; Clostridia; Peptostreptococcales; Peptostreptococcaceae.
CCUACGGGUGGCAGCAGUGGGGGAUAUUGCACAAUGGGGGAAACCCUGAUGCAGCGACGCCGCGUGGAGGAAGAAGGUUUUCGGAUUGUAAACUCCUGUCGUUAGGGACGAUAAUGACGGUACCUAACAAGAAAGCACCGGCUAACUACGUGCCAGCAGCCGCGGUAAAACGUAGGGUGCAAGCGUUGUCCGGAAUUACUGGGUGUAAAGGGAGCGCAGGCGGACCGGCAAGUUGGAAGUGAAAACUAUGGGCUCAACCCAUAAAUUGCUUUCAAAACUGCUGGCCUUGAGUAGUGCAGAGGUAGGUGGAAUUCCCGGUGUAGCGGUGGAAUGCGUAGAUAUCGGGAGGAACACCAGUGGCGAAGGCGACCUACUGGGCACCAACUGACGCUGAGGCUCGAAAGCAUGGGUAGCAAACAGGAUUAGAUACCCUUGUAGUC